UUUAAUUUUUCUUUUAUGCGUUAGAAUAAAGAAAUAGAUAUUUUUUGUUUUAUAAAUUUAGGAGUUUUGUAAGUUUUAUAUGUAAUACAAGCAACGGUAAUGACUGUAAGAUUAGUAACUUUAAUUGAGGGCAGAAAUAUACUGUGACGCUCUAACUUUUCAAGGGAUCAUUCAUUUUAGGAUUAUUUUCGUCCUAACACGCAUAACUCUCCUAACUUCUUUAAUCUAGCCACCACCGAAAAUACUUAAGCCGGGUUAAAAGUUUUAAUAAUAUUAUAUCUUAUAUAUAGGACUAUUUAGGGUCUCACACCUAC
RNAcentral lists this long non-coding RNA (314 nucleotides) under Ananas comosus (pineapple). RNAcentral's name for it is "long non-coding RNA (ACOM_LNC011694)". Lineage: Eukaryota; Viridiplantae; Streptophyta; Magnoliopsida; Poales; Bromeliaceae. The record is from RNAcentral.